Ciona intestinalis (vase tunicate) is the source of this 604-nucleotide non-coding RNA. NCBI's taxonomy places the organism in Eukaryota, Metazoa, Chordata, Ascidiacea, Phlebobranchia, Cionidae. The record is from RefSeq and is a predicted model, not a curated record.
GUCGUCGACAUAGUGUUUUCUGUUACUUUUAAAUUAGGAAAGAUGCGUAGGUUUUGCCGUAGCUUGAUUUAAGUGUAUUUACAUUAUUUAAGUUUUUCAUUUAACAAUAAUGUAAAAGUGUGUGAUAGUAAGGUAGAAGUAUUUUAUCUGAAAAAGUGACAUAAGUGAAGAUCCUAGUCCACUAGCAAUAGGCAUUGAGCCUUUCCAGCGUGAACCUGUACUUCCAGCAAGUGUUGGGAAAGUAGACAGGCCUAGUUUGCCUUCCAUGGAAAACAAGUGAAGCUGAGAAAAUCAGAAAUACAAUUUGACAGUAUCGCUACACAGCUGAUCAGAACCUUGUUCGAUAGGUACGGGAAUGACUGGAAAAGGAAAACAGAAAGGUUCAACAGUACUGAUCAAAAGUAUAAGUGAACAACAUUAUAGUGACAGUUCAACAACAGCAAGAAUAUUUCUUCAUUCAGUUUUGAAUGGUCUUGUUUCAUACAAAAUGUGAUUCAUGCAAGAGUUAUGUUGUUUUAAAUUAAGUACAUUCAACAUUACUAGAAAUACACAUUUAAGUAUUGGAUUGUUUUUAUUGUUUUGAAUAAACAACGCUUGUACCAGA